AUCCAGCCGACCAGUCUUAAACAAGACGGAAUGCGCAUCCUGGAU
This is a non-coding RNA of Trichobilharzia regenti, 45 nucleotides long. The record is from Rfam. Lineage: Eukaryota; Metazoa; Platyhelminthes; Trematoda; Strigeidida; Schistosomatidae.